Molecule: non-coding RNA, 67 nt
Organism: Potamilus streckersoni
Lineage: Eukaryota; Metazoa; Mollusca; Bivalvia; Unionida; Unionidae
Source: the annotation of a GenBank genome assembly
CAAUGGCCUAGUGGUUAGAGCGUCCUCCUCGGAUGCGGAAUGUCGUGGGUUCGAUCCCCGGUCAAGU